AGAGGUGGCAAGCGUUUUUCGAAAUUACUGGGCGUAAAGGGCGCGUAGGCGGCUUGGUCAGUCCCGUGUGAAAUCCCUCGGCUCAACUGAGGAACUGCACGGGAAACUGCCUGGCUUGAGUUCGGGAGAGGGAAGCGGAAUUCCGGGUGUAGCGGUGAAAUGCGUAGAUAUCCGGAGGAACACCGGUGGCGAAGGCGGCUUCCUGGACCGACACUGACGCUGAGGCGCGAAAGCUAGGGGAGCAAACGGGAUUAGAUACCCCGGUAGUCCUAGCUGUAAACGAUGAGUGCUGGGUGUAGGGGGUAUCAACCCCCCCUGUGCCGAAGCUAACGCAUUAAGCACUCCGCCUGGGGAGUACGGUCGCAAGGCUG
RNAcentral lists this ribosomal RNA (371 nucleotides) under uncultured bacterium. RNAcentral's name for it is "bacterial SSU rRNA". It matches the Rfam family "Bacterial small subunit ribosomal RNA", at positions 527 to 896 of the family's 1533-position model. The record is from RNAcentral.